CCUACGGGAGGCAGCAGUAGGGAAUUUUCCGCAAUGGGCGAAAGCCUGACGGAGCAAUACCGCGUGAGGGAUGACGGCCUGUGGGUUGUAAACCUCUUUUCUCAAGGAAGAAGUUCUGACGGUACUUGAGGAAUAAGCAUCGGCUAACUCUGUGCCAGCAGCCGCGGUAAUACAGAGGAUGCAAGCGUUAUCCGGAAUCACUGGGCAUAAAGCGUCUGUAGGUUGUUUAGUAAGUCUGCUGUUAAAGACUGGGGCUUAACCCCAGAAAAGCAGUGGAAACUGCUAGACUCGAGUGUGGUAGAGGUAGAGGGAAUUCCUAGUGUAGCGGUGAAAUGCGUAGAUAUUAGGAAGAACACCAAUGGCGAAGGCACUCUACUGGGCCAUAACUGACACUGAGAGACGACAGCUAGGGGAGCAAACGGGAUUAGAUACCCCGGUAGUCCUAGCCGUAAACGAUGGAUACUAGAUGUUGCACGUAUUAACCCGUGCAGUAUCGUAGCUAAGGCGUUAAGUAUCCCGCCUGGGAAGUACGCUCGCAAGAGUGAAACUCAAAGGAAUUGACGGCUGAGACGNGCGAGACGACACGAGGGAGAGG
This 595-nucleotide ribosomal RNA is filed under the name uncultured bacterium. RNAcentral's name for it is "bacterial SSU rRNA". It matches the Rfam family "Bacterial small subunit ribosomal RNA", at positions 338 to 950 of the family's 1533-position model. The record is from RNAcentral.